ACAGUUUUGACCUUAGACCAAGAAAAAGGCCAGGGAGUCAAAAAAGAAAGGACUAUACUUUUUAUUUGGCCUGAAGAGUGAUGGGUCUAAUGGAACAAGAAGAGAUCAAAGACUGCCAUUGGUUGAUAACCUCAAUGGGCUCCAAUGCUAUUUCUAGCCAACCAAUUUACCAAGGAACAUCACAAGAACACCAGCUUUCCACAGAGAGAGUUUGAAAAGUCAUUAAUGAAGCAAAUCGAAAGAACUGGAGCAAUUCAAGCCAAAUGGAAAUUCAUCCAAAGUCCUGGCCAAAAUAGUCAAAUACAUGGUUUGUCUUUGGCAUCAGCCUCCCUCUUCCAUCCUCUAUUCCUCCUCCCAGCCCCAGGGUAUUUUGUGCUCUCUCUUACACAAAAAUUCCUAUUAAAGGAUA
Molecule: long non-coding RNA, 409 nt
Organism: Monodelphis domestica (gray short-tailed opossum)
Lineage: Eukaryota; Metazoa; Chordata; Mammalia; Didelphimorphia; Didelphidae
Source: RefSeq, a predicted model, not a curated record